CCUACGGGAGGCAGCAGUGGGGAAUAUUGCACAAUGGGCGCAAGCCUGAUGCAGCCAUGCCGCGUGUAUGAAGAAGGCCUUCGGGUUGUAAAGUACUUUCAGCGGGGAGGAAGGGAGUAAAGUUAAUACCUUUGCUCAUUGACGUUACCCGUAGAAGAAGCACCGGCUAACUCCGUGCCAGCAGCCGCGGUAAU
Molecule: ribosomal RNA, 194 nt
Filed under: uncultured bacterium
Lineage: Bacteria
Description: partial 16S ribosomal RNA
Rfam family: Bacterial small subunit ribosomal RNA
Source: RNAcentral